AGUGAACGCUGGCGGUAGGCCUAACACAUGCAAGUCGAACGGCAGCACAGUAAGAGCUUGCUCUUACGGGUGGCGAGUGGCGGACGGGUGAGGAAUACAUCGGAAUCUACUUUUUCGUGGGGGCUAACGUAGGGAAACUUACGCUAAUACCGCAUACGACCUACGGGUGAAAGCAGGGGAUCUUCGGACCUUGCGCGAUUGAAUGAGCCGAUGUCGGAUUAGCUAGUUGGCGGGGUGAAGGCCCACCAAGGCGACGAUCCGUAGCUGGUCUGAGAGGAUGAUCAGCCAGACUGGAACUGAGACACGGUCCAGACUCCUACGGGAGGCAGCAGUGGGGAAUAUUGGACAAUGGGCGCAAGCCUGAUCCAGCCAUACCGCGUGGGUGAAGAAGGCCUUCGGGUUGUAAAGCCCUUUUGUUGGGAAAGAAAAGCAGCAGGUUAAUACCCCGCUGUUCUGACGGUACCCAAAGAAUAAGCACCGGCUAACUUCGUG
This 492-nucleotide ribosomal RNA is filed under the name uncultured bacterium. RNAcentral describes it as "partial 16S ribosomal RNA". It matches the Rfam family "Bacterial small subunit ribosomal RNA", at positions 29 to 507 of the family's 1533-position model. The record is from RNAcentral.